GUGAACCUCUGAUGGACGUAUUAAAAUUGCCUCCGACAUGCAUAGUAAUUCUGAGCAGUAACCAAGUCAACAACAGGGACAGAACAUGCAAGUAACUCGUGGGUAAUGUGCAAGCAAAAAUGAGUGUAAAAUUUCAAGUUAUUUUCAAGGAGUUUGCUACAGGAUCAUGUAAAUACCGAGUAAUCUACUUUUCUACCAUGUGAAGAACAGGAUGUAAAUGGAGC
Pelobates cultripes (western spadefoot toad) is the source of this 224-nucleotide non-coding RNA. The record is from the annotation of a GenBank genome assembly. Lineage: Eukaryota; Metazoa; Chordata; Amphibia; Anura; Pelobatidae.